CCUAAGCGAGUUUGACCCGCUCAGGAUGAACGCUAGCGGCAGGCUUAACACAUGCAAGUCGAGGGGUAUAGUUCUUCGGAACUAGAGACCGGCGCACGGGUGCGUAAGACUUAUGCAAUCUACCUUUCACAGAGGGAUAGCCCAGAGAAAUUUGGAUUAAUACCUCAUAGUAUAAUUGAAUGGCAGCUUUAAUUAUUAAAGUCACAACGGUGAAACAGAGCAUGCGUCCCAUUAGCUAGUUGGUAAGGUAACCACUUACCAAGGCGACGAUGGGUAGGGGUCCUGAGAGGGAGAUCCCCCACACUGGUACUGAGACACGGAACAGACUCCUACGGGAGGCAGCAGUGAGGAAUAUUGGUCAAUGGGCGCAAGCCUGAACCAGCCAUGCCGCGUGCAGGAUGACGGUCCUAUGGAUUGUAAACUGCUUUUGUACAGGAAGAAACACUGGUUCGUGAACCAGCUUGACGGUACUGUAAGAAUAAGGAUCGGCUAACUCCGUGCCAGCAGCCGCGGUAAUACGGAGGAUCCAAGCGUUAUCCGGAAUCAUUGGGUUUAAAGGGUCCGUAGGCGGUCAGAUAAGUCAGUGGUGAAAGCCCAUCGCUCAACGGUGGAACGGCCAUUGAUACUGUCUGACUUGAAUUAUUAGGAAGUAGCUAGAAUAUGUAGUGUAGCGGUGAAAUGCUUAGAGAUUACAUGGAAUACCAAUUGCGAAGGCAGGUUACUACUAAUGGAUUGACGCUGAUGGACGAAAGCGUGGGUAGCGAACAGGAUUAGAUACCCUGGUAGUCCACGCCGUAAACGAUGGAUACUAGCUGUUGGGAGCAAUCUCAGUGGCUAAGCGAAAGUGAUAAGUAUCCCACCUGGGGAGUACGUUCGCAAGAAUGAAACUCAAAGGAAUUGACGGGGGCCCGCACAAGCGGUGGAGCAUGUGGUUUAAUUCGAUGAUCCUCGACAACCUUACCAAGGCUUAAAUGUAGAUUGACCGGUUUGGAAACAUAGCUUUCGCAAGACAAUUUACAAGGCGCUGCAUGGUUGUCGUCAGCUCGUGCCGUUGAGGUGUCAAGGUUAAGUCCUAUAACGAGCGCAACCCCUGUUGUUGGAACUCUAACGAGACUAGGCCAGUGCAAACUGUCCGAGGAAGGUGGGGAUGACGUCAAAUCAUCACGGCCCCUUACGCCUUGGGCUACACACGUGCUACAAUGGCCGGUACAGAGAGCAGCCACUGGGUGACCAAGAGCGAAUCUACAAAACCGGUCACAGUUCGGAUCGGAGUCUGCAACUCGACUCCGUGAAGCUGGAAUCGCUAGUAAUCGGAUAUCAGCCAUGAUCCGGUGAAUACGUUCCCGGGCCUUGUACACACCGCCCGUCAAGCCAUGGAAGCUGGGGGUGCCUGAAGUCGGUGACCGCAAGGAGCUGCCUAGGGUAAAACUGGUAACUAGGGCUAAGUCGUAACAAGGUAACCUCAAGUCG
RNAcentral lists this ribosomal RNA (1470 nucleotides) under uncultured Flavobacterium sp. RNAcentral describes it as "bacterial SSU rRNA". It matches the Rfam family "Bacterial small subunit ribosomal RNA". The record is from RNAcentral. Lineage: Bacteria; Pseudomonadati; Bacteroidota; Flavobacteriia; Flavobacteriales; Flavobacteriaceae.